RNAcentral lists this unclassified non-coding RNA (157 nucleotides) under soil metagenome. RNAcentral describes it as "partial internal transcribed spacer 1". The record is from RNAcentral.
CAAGAAGAGACCCUAACCGGUCCCCUCAACCCUGCCCAUCGUACCUUUUUUGUUGUUCCCUCGGCGGUGGCUCGCGGGCCCGCCCGCCGGCGCGGGAAGUACCAAACAAACCCUUGCCAAACAAGCAUAUCGAAUCUCUGAUCAACAUGAAUUGUCA